UCUGUUAAGUUCCUUCCCAAAGACUACGAUCGUCUCUCUUCUGUACCCCAUCCUCCGCGGCUCCGCCACCUUCGUUCACUCUGUCGCGAGCUCUCCUCCGUUCCGUUGGUCACCACGCUCUUGUCUUCUUCGGCUCGCCCGCAAGAAGCCGGCGAAGUCAAUGACCUCCCCCACCGCCUCCGUAUCCUGCAGGCUCGCCCCCUUCGCCUCUGCCGCGGAGAGUGGCGCCAGGGAUCCCCACGGGUCCACCGCUCCCUCUUCCUCCCCCCUCUUCUCGCCCCAAAGAGGACGAAGGUAUCCACGACACAGUUCUCAGGUCUUCUCUGUGUUUUUGUCUUCUUUGGGGCUUUUGUUGAUCUGGGUUUUCAUUCUUUUUCCAAGAAAAUCGUGUCUUUGGUGCAUUUGUUUGGCAAGUACCAGUCACCCUGAAUUACAACUAGCAACCAUUAGUCUACAACCGGCCAAUCUUUUGAUUCACAUGUAUUGCAUGUUUAUGUCACUGCCUCACAAUACAUUUUCUUUCCUCUGAUCCCGGAGUCUUUUACCUCAAGCACAGGUAGUAGUGCACUCCGUGUGCUUGAUCCUAGUCAAAAUAAUACAUGCUGGUUUGCAUGUUUCUGCUGUAAGGACUUUCUUUGCUAUGUUCAUCAUCAUUUGAGAAUUGAUAUGAGAAAUACCCAUGUCGAACACUUGGAGAAACACCGCAAGGUCUCACCAUCUUUUUUGUUUGCGGAUGUUUCAUCAAUAAACUUUUCACUAGGCACCAUGGAAUAUCUAUUAUUUAAUUCCUCUACAAUUGAACUUCUUGGAGAUUGUUAUUUAUAUAAUAAAUAUACAAUAGUUACUAUGAGCAAUUGGUUUAUUUCUUGCCAGCUAAUCUUUACUAAUUUGCAUAUCCUUAGUUGUUCUGCUUUGGUUGUCCAUGAUAUCUAUAGCAUCCCAAACAAGGUCCGUUGUCUCUAAAACACCCAUAUUAGGUGCUAAUUUUCAUUAGCUUCCUUCUGUUCUGAUCUCUUGUCAUCAUCUGGUUCUUUUUGCAAAAUGUAACAUCUUUUCUAAAUAUGAAACAUCUUAUGUUUUCCUUUGCAUAGCCAAGAUUGUUUUUCUCUUGCUUUGACAAGCCAUGGAGCCGUCUAUUGUUUGGUGAUUCUACCCUUAGAAAGAGUCUUGGUUAUUCUGUGAGAGAGUGCUAGCAUGAUUUUAAGGAUCAUAUAUCAACCUAUAAUAUUUUUCUUUGUUAGUUAAUUCUGUAUAAUUUUUCUUUGUUAGCAUAAUUUUAUAUCAGUUAUUAUUUUCUUUAUAUGGAGUCUGUAUACUAGAAUAAAUAAUCUCUGAGAUGUAUUGAAUGAAAUUGAAACAGAGAUAAUAAAAUCUAUUUUUUCUCUCCUUUUCUUUUAUUUUCUCUUCUUCUGUAAAUAUUUUAACAUGGUAUCAGAGCCGUCAAUCACCUAAUAUGAAAACGUUAUCUCCUCCAUCUUUACUAUGGCUGUCAUUGUCGUAUCCACGAACCUUGAAGAUCUUUGUUGCCAAUCUACCGAUCUUUGUUUUUCUGCAGAUCCUCUGUUUUUCAGUAGAUCUGCAGAUCAUCUGUUUUUCAGUAGAUUUAUAGCUGAAGAUUCUUGUCGUAGUUUGAGGCAUUUUUCUUUGCUUUGAGUGUUUUUCUGUCUAUGGCUCUUUCGCUGUUCAGUUUGAGACCUUUUUCUUCUCUUUAGAUACUUUUUGCUUCUGGCUCCUUCAUCACUUAGUUUGAUAUUUUUUCAUUUUCUUUGGAUAUUUUUUUAUCUUUGGCUCCUUUGCUGUCCAAUUUAAGAUAUUUUCCUUCUUUUGGAUGUUUUUAUGUUUUUGCUUCUUUUUCCCCGAAUUUGAGACAUUUUCCUCUUCUUUGGAUAUUUUUUGCCUCUGGCUCCUUCAUUGGCCAGUUUGAGGCCUUUUCGUUCUCUUCGAUGGUGUUUUUAUCUAUGAGGAUCAUCAAUCUUCAGCUAUCUUCUCUUUAAGCACUGACAUUUUCUUUUAUGGCAUUUUUGUCCGUGUGGAUCAUUGGUUCCUUCUCUUCUAUGGUGUUUUAAUCUAGAUAAAAAAAAUUCAAACUCAAGUUGGCAUCUACAGUAUCACCUUGAGUUUGAGAGAGAGUGUUAGCAUGAUUUUAAGAAGCACAUAUCAAUCUAUAAUAAUUUUCUUUAUUAACGUGAUCUCAUAAUAGUUUUCUUUGUUAUUAUGAUUCUGUACUAUUUUCCUUCAUUAGCAUGAUUCUGUAUCAGUUGUUAUUAUUUUUCUUGUCUGUAUACUUGUAUAAAUAACCUUUGAGAUGUAUUGAAUAAAAUUGAAAUAGAGAUAAUAAAUCCCUUUUUCCCUCUCUUUUUUUUUGUUUCCUCUUCUUUUGUAAAUAUUUUAAUUGAGAGAGCAUCAUGCAUGUAAAUAUUCUAAUAGACCUGCGAUUGGGAUACUUGUAAUAUUGAAUCUCUGAAGGAUAUUGAAAAUAAGGCCCUCUUAGCUAGUGGCGGUGGGCUUGGACAAGGUCUUAUUUGAAUCCAAGGUCUUUUUUGUGGUACGUUCCCUUUUCAUCCCCAAGUAAAUUUGUUAUUGUUUUCUUUGUGAUGCUAACGUUAUCAUUAUUAUUGAUUUUGUUAUUGAGAGCAAUGCCUUUUCCUAAAAUAUCUUACUCUAUAAUUUGUUUGAUACUCUUAUCAAUGUUGCCAUGCUGGCACAUUUCUGAAACCCAGAACUACAUCCCAUCUCAUGUCAAUAGGAAUAUAAUGUUACUGCAAGAGAGAGAUAUUGGCUGUUACAUGACAAGAUUAAAACUGGUGCAUAAUUGUUUCAGCAUUUUAUCUAACCAGAGUUCUAUGUUAGUGUUAAAAAAUAGUAGUUUCUAGUUAAUUGAUAUGAUAUGUUGUUAUUGAGAACAUUUAUAAUGCCAUAUCAUCAUAUCACCAUUUUUGAGUUCUGUCCACUGAAUCAUAGCUUUAUUUUUGUAUUUGAUACAAGAGGUAGAUGAGCAACAUAAUUUUUAAUGACAUCCACCUUGGCUGGAUGGCUUAUCAAGGUGAGGCUGCCUACGUGCCCGAUCUUAAGAUAUCGCUUCAUGAUUGAGUAUGGAGGAUCAUAUUGGUUUAUAAAAUGGUAUUAGAUGCUGACAAGUAGAUAUUAACCAUUGACUUACUAUAUCUUAUGCUUCUUUUGAUUCAUUAUGUCUCUGCUUUUGGGUUUCUCUGUGUUAGUUACUAAAGUUUAUUACUCUUGGGCUGCCAUCAGGCUGCCUUGACCUUUGGGCAUCUUCCUCGGCUCUAAGCAGUCAUCUGGCCAACAGUCCAUCACUUAGUCUUUUAAAACUAUGAAAAGCAAUUAUCACAAGAAGGGGAUAGGAAGAAAGGAGAAAUAACUCUUUGUUGGAGUUCCAAUUCUGCAAAACAAUUAUAGAGGACAACUGAUUUUUAGGUUGAAGAUUGUGUUGGCAUGCGGUCAACCCUUAAACCAUUAUAAAGCACCAAUAUAAAUGACUUUAGGACAGUAUCGUGAAAAGAACAAUUUUCAGUAUCUUCACACUUGCAUUUGCAACUAUUAACCACGAGUAGGUUUCUCAUGUGCUAACACACUCAUGGAAGUGAUUGAUAUUUUCUAGAAAUUUUGUAGAACUCUAGCCAUAUGAACAAGAUUGCUUAAACAAGUUGUUUGAUCAACUGACACUUGUUUCCUCUACUAUUAAUAUAUCCAGUGGUCAAAACAGGUGUUUGUCAUUGGACUGCCCAUAACUUUGUCUCUCUUGAUCCAGCCGUCUAUACAAGGGAAAAUGAUGCAGGUGUUGCUGGCAUGAUUUCCUAGCAUGCUAGGUUGUUAUUAACUUUAUUGAUCAAUAUAGUGCUUUCAACUUUCAUAUGAAGAAAAGCUAGAAUGUUCUGAGGAUGUCGGUUCAACACAGCAUUGAAAUAAGUGACCAUUUUAAUGUCUCAGAUCAAGUUGAUUAUAUGGUGGCUUCUAUGGGCAAUCAUCAUACUCAUCUACCUAAAAGAGGACAUUGCUGAUAGCUUAUAUGGCUAUCUGAUGCAGAUCAAGUUGAUUAUAUGGUGGCUUCUAUGGGCAAUCAUCAUACUCAUCCACCUAAAAGAUACACAAGUGGUAGCAACAUUGUGCUCGGGCAUCAAACAUGCCUACCAUAAAAUUUGUUUCCAAACUUACUAAAUUCUUUCAAAAAGCCAUCCCGCAUUUAAAGAAAAAUGCUUGAUGGAAAACCUGCACCAACAGUAGUAAUGUACAUCAUCUCAUCUGUAUUGUAUCCUGCAAAUGAAGUUUUCAUUUUUGUAGACAAGUGUAUUGUUUCCUGUUAUUAUUGUUGUUGUUGUUCCCAGUUGAGCAAACAAUAUCUCUCAACUGUACAACAUGCCAACUAUUAAUGGUAUCCAUGUGGUUUAGUU
Molecule: long non-coding RNA, 4409 nt
Organism: Elaeis guineensis (African oil palm)
Lineage: Eukaryota; Viridiplantae; Streptophyta; Magnoliopsida; Arecales; Arecaceae
Source: RefSeq, a predicted model, not a curated record